RNAcentral lists this ribosomal RNA (171 nucleotides) under uncultured bacterium. RNAcentral describes it as "partial 16S ribosomal RNA". The stretch from base 1 to 77 matches the Rfam family "Bacterial small subunit ribosomal RNA", at positions 796 to 873 of the family's 1533-position model. The record is from RNAcentral.
CACGCCGUAAACGAUGAAUGCCAGCCGUUAGUGGGUUUACUCACUAGUGGCGCAGCUAACGCUUUAAGCAUUCCGCCUGGGGAGUNACGCGCAGAACCUUACCAGCCCUUGACAUGUCCAGGACCGGUCGCAGAGAUGUGACCCUCUCUUCGGAGCCUGGAACACAGGUGC